This 2189-nucleotide long non-coding RNA is filed under the name Homo sapiens (human). Its description in RNAcentral is "HSALNT0357140". The record is from RNAcentral. Lineage: Eukaryota; Metazoa; Chordata; Mammalia; Primates; Hominidae.
GCACCCGCACAGCAAGGAGGCUGAAAAGAGGUGAAAAAACUCCCUUCUGAAUUGAAAUCACAGACCUGUGACCUGCAUGCUCUCCUAAAUGGGAAGGGGUGAGGAGCGCUGUGGGAAAGGCUCCUCCUUGGCAAGGAAAGGGAUGAUUUCUCCGGAGUUCACCGGACUCCCCCUUUCCCCAGCGCCAAGCAUCCGGGUGAGUGUUUUGCAAUGGGGUCUGUCACCAUCAGGAACCGAGGAGAGUUUAGACUCUGCAUUUACUACACCAGACCCACAAAGCACCACCUGUGCUCUCAGUCUCAGGAGAAACAGCCUCUUUCACUUUUCAAAUCAAUCUUCUGUGCAUGUAUUUACUAUAAUGUUACAGCACCAUUGGUUCCAGCUUUAAAUCACGAAGAUAUGCUCUACUUAACGACUUUAGUUGAAGCAGCACACAGCCACAUGGGAAAUACCAUUUAGAGGCCAAUCAUCUCUUUCCCAGAAAAUCUCUGGGGACAGGGGCAGGGGAGGGAGAGAGGGAGCUGAGAAGCCUUGAUGUGCAAGUUCAAUUUCUACAGGUGAACACCAGCGGCCUCGGCAAUGCUAGGUUGUUAGGAAUUCGGCCUUACUUCUUUUCAUCUCUGUGGUUUACUAACUGGCUCUCAAAGGCGUAUGACUGCGGUGCCCCACUGCACGCACGCAGCAGAGGGCAUGACAGGGUUCAUUGGAGAAGCUGGCUCCCGCAGGGCUGCUGGGCUGACCUCUUUCAGCUGGAGAAAGCCAUAAGCGCUCACUAACCUGCCGUGCUCACCAUGAACUUCCACUUGACCACAUAGGCAUCCCCCUCGUGGAACUGCCCGAUGCUUUGUUUGGGGAGCCUGCUAUAGUCAAAUUCCAGGAUGUACCAGACAUCCACGGAGACACUGGUGAUCUCAAACUGCCUCCUGUGGUGUCCUUCCACCAGGCCACAGCCACAGCCAAUGUUCACCCUGUCCAGGAUGGCACCUGCUGUCGUCUGGGGCACGGACACCAUCCGUGUCACGUUGUUCCGCUUGACAUCGGCCCUGGAGUCUUCCUAUAGGGGAACAUGAAGACAUCGGUUCAGUUGCCUGUUUCCGCAGCUAUUCCUUGUCACACUCAACGCUGCUUCAGCUGUUCAUGGGACAGCAUAAAAAUACACCUUCCACACUCUGUCUCAGGAUGUUUAACUGCAGUCAGGGAAAGGCUGCAUUUUCAGAAAGACUCUGGCAGGUCUGAACACCCAUUGGCCACACUGGUGCAUGGGGUGCCUGAAAACAGGUGCAAACCCGACUCUUCACCUCCCAGAGUCAGAUUAGAAUUGGAGGCCAGUCUGCUGUUCUAUUAGUGAAUCCUGGGAAGGCCUCUUAGCUUUAAGGGGUGUGUGUGUGUGUGUGUGUAUGUGUGUCCAUUUUUUUUAAUUAAAAAAGUAUUUUAGUUGACACAUUAUUAUGGAUAUGAUUUGAUGUGUUGAUAAAUGCAUCUGUUUCAUGGGGAAGGGGGUGUGGGAAGGAGACGGGACAGGGAGGAUAGGGAGAUGUUGGCCAACAGGUACAAAAUGACAAUCAGAGAGGAGGAAUGAGCUCUGGUUUUCUCCUGCACAGUGGGGUGACUGUUUUCCAAUACUGUAUUGCAUAUUUCAAAAUAGCUAGAAGAGAAGAUUUGAAUGUUCUCACCACAAAGAAAUGAUACAUCUGGGGUGACAGCCAUGCGAACUAUCCUGAUUUGAUCAUUUUACAUCAAGGCCACUUUUGUUGGGACCCGAACCAAGCCCUGAGGUUUGAGACUUGGUCACUGGAAUACCUUGUGCUGGGCAAGUUCCCCGGGGUUCUUCUCAUUUGGUCUUUUCAGUUCUGUCCAAUCCAGAAACUUUUCUUUGAACAAAAUCGUCUCAUUGUGUUCAGUAAGUCUCCCAAAUAUCGCCCAGUCGGGCCGCCCCUGUCCUUUUCUGUAGGGUGGGAAGGGGGUUGGGAGAACAGACAGGAAAAGAACCAAGAUGAAGCCAAGCUUAAACAAAGGAAUCUAAAACACAUGCGGCUGCUGGAAAAAACCUCAAAGUACGUGAGUACAUAUAAAAUAAAUGGUUUAUUUUCCUGCAUUUUACCAAAUACUGACAUUUUGUUAUUUUAGUCUGAAGUCUUGCAAAGCUUUGUGUCCAUGGAGUUUUUGAUGUGCCUUAAUGUGACAUGAAC